CAAGUCGGCCAGGCGGUCGCGGUCGACAGACCGAGGAAAGUCCGGGCUCCAUAGGGCGCGGUGCUGGAUAACGUCCAGGCGGGGGCGCAAGCGCGUUACCCGACGGAAAAGGGCCACAGAAAAGCAGACAGCCGGGGCAGCGCACGUGUGGCUGCCCCGGUGAUGGUGAAAAGGUGGUGUAAGAGACCACCGGCGUCCGUGGCGACACGGGCGGCCAGGCAACCCCCACCGGGAGCAAGGCCAAGCAGGAGCAAGUAGGGGCGACCCUUGUGGUCGUCCCCGUGGGGCGACCCUUGUGGUCGUCCCCGUGGGGCGACCCUUGUGGUCGUCCCCGUGGGGCGACCCUUGUGGUCGUCCCCGUGG
RNAcentral lists this RNase P RNA (363 nucleotides) under Chloroflexota bacterium. RNAcentral describes it as "partial RNase P RNA component class A". It matches the Rfam family "Bacterial RNase P class A", at positions 1 to 310 of the family's 367-position model. From Rfam's summary of the family: Ribonuclease P (RNase P) is a ubiquitous endoribonuclease, found in archaea, bacteria and eukarya as well as chloroplasts and mitochondria. The record is from RNAcentral. Lineage: Bacteria; Bacillati; Chloroflexota.